UAAGGAAUAUUGGUCAAUGGGCGGAAGCCUGAACCAGCCAUGCCGCGUGCAGGAUGACUGCCCUAUGGGUUGUAAACUGCUUUUGUCCAGGAAUAAACCUAGAUACGUGUAUCUAGCUGAAUGUACUGGAAGAAUAAGGAUCGGCUAACUCCGUGCCAGCAGCCGCGGUAAUACGGAGGAUCCGAGCGUUAUCCGGAUUUAUUGGGUUUAAAGGGUGCGUAGGCGGCCUAUUAAGUCAGGGGUGAAAUACGGUGGCUCAACCAUCGCAGUGCCUUUGAUACUGAUGGGCUUGAAUCCAUUUGAAGUGGGCGGAAUAAGACAAGUAGCGGUGAAAUGCAUAGAUAUGUCUUAGAACUCCGAUUGCGAAGGCAGCUCACUAAGCUGGUAUUGACGCUGAUGCACGAAAGCGUGGGGAUCGAACAGGAUUAGAUACCCUGGUAGUCCACGCCCUAAACGAUGAUAACUCGAUGUUGGCGAUAGACAGCCAGCGUCCAAGCGAAAGCGUUAAGUUAUCCACCUGGGGAGUACGCCCGCAAGGGUGAAACUUAAAGGAAUUGACGGGGUCAUAGCUGUUUCCU
RNAcentral lists this ribosomal RNA (578 nucleotides) under uncultured bacterium. RNAcentral's name for it is "partial 16S ribosomal RNA". It matches the Rfam family "Bacterial small subunit ribosomal RNA", at positions 355 to 1375 of the family's 1533-position model. The record is from RNAcentral.